GAACGGUAACAGGAAGCAGCUUGCUGCUUCGCUGACGAGUGGCGGACGGGUGAGUAAUGUCUGGGAAACUGCCUGAUGGAGGGGGAUAACUACUGGAAACGGUAGCUAAUACCGCAUAACGUCGCAAGACCAAAGAGGGGGACCUUAGGGCCUCUUGCCAUCGGAUGUGCCCAGAUGGGAUUAGCUAGUAGGUGGGGUAACGGCUCACCUAGGCGACGAUCCCUAGCUGGUCUGAGAGGAUGACCAGCCACACUGGAACUGAGACACGGUCCAGACUCCUACGGGAGGCAGCAGUGGGGAAUAUUGCACAAUGGGCGCAAGCCUGAUGCAGCCAUGCCGCGUGUAUGAAGAAGGCCUUUGGGUUGUAAAGUACUUUCAGCGGGGAGGAAGGGAGUAAAGUUAAUACCUUUGCUCAUUGACGUUACCCGCAGAAGAAGCACCGGCUAACUCCGUGCCAGCAGCCGCGGUAAUACGGAGGGUGCAAGCGUUAAUCGGAAUUACUGGGCGUAAAGCGCACGCAGGCGGUUUGUUAAGUCAGAUGUGAAAUCCCCGGGCUCAACCUGGGAACUGCAUCUGAUACUGGCAAGCUUGAGUCUCGUAGAGGGGGGUAGAAUUCCAGGUGUAGCGGUGAAAUGCGUAGAGAUCUGGAGGAAUACCGGUGGCGAAGGCGGCCCCCUGGACGAAGACUGACGCUCAGGUGCGAAAGCGUGGGGAGCAAACAGG
RNAcentral lists this ribosomal RNA (723 nucleotides) under uncultured Escherichia sp. Its description in RNAcentral is "bacterial SSU rRNA". It matches the Rfam family "Bacterial small subunit ribosomal RNA", at positions 64 to 776 of the family's 1533-position model. Lineage: Bacteria; Pseudomonadati; Pseudomonadota; Gammaproteobacteria; Enterobacterales; Enterobacteriaceae. The record is from RNAcentral.